RNAcentral lists this ribosomal RNA (253 nucleotides) under uncultured bacterium. Its description in RNAcentral is "partial 16S ribosomal RNA". It matches the Rfam family "Bacterial small subunit ribosomal RNA", at positions 524 to 776 of the family's 1533-position model. The record is from RNAcentral.
UACGUAGGGUGCGAGCGUUAAUCGGAAUUACUGGGCGUAAAGCGUGCGCAGGCGGUCUUUUAAGUCAGAUGUGAAAUCCCCGGGCUUAACCUGGGAACUGCGUUUGAAACUGAAAGGCUAGAGUGUGGCAGAGGGGGGUGGAAUUCCACGUGUAGCAGUGAAAUGCGUAGAGAUGUGGAGGAACACCGAUGGCGAAGGCAGCCCCCUGGGCUAACACUGACGCUCAUGCACGAAAGCGUGGGGAGCAAACAGG